RNAcentral lists this ribosomal RNA (367 nucleotides) under uncultured bacterium. RNAcentral describes it as "bacterial SSU rRNA". It matches the Rfam family "Bacterial small subunit ribosomal RNA", at positions 29 to 420 of the family's 1533-position model. The record is from RNAcentral.
AACGAACGCUGGCGGCAUGCCUAACACAUGCAAGUCGAACGAGACCUUCGGGUCUAGUGGCGCACGGGUGCGUAACACGUGGGAAUUUGCCUCGGGGUAUGGAAUAACUCAGGGAAACUUGAGCUAAUACCAUAUAAUGUCUUCGGACCAAAGAUUUAUCGCCCUGAGAUAAGCCCGCGUAGGAUUAGCUAGUUGGUGAGGUAAAGGCUCACCAAGGCGACGAUCCUUAGCUGGUCUGAGAGGAUGAUCAGCCACACUGGGACUGAGACACGGCCCAGACUCCUACGGGAGGCAGCAGUGGGGAAUAUUGGGACAAUGGGGCGAAAGACCUGAUCCAGCAAUGCCGCGUGAGUGAUGAAGGCCUCGG